Molecule: long non-coding RNA, 1395 nt
Filed under: Neodiprion pinetum (white pine sawfly)
Lineage: Eukaryota; Metazoa; Arthropoda; Insecta; Hymenoptera; Diprionidae
Description: uncharacterized LOC124218035
Source: RNAcentral
CUUCCAACUGAAAAUUAGUAAACGUCGUACGAUAUCUUCGCUGUUUUCGCUUUCCCAUUCCAGCCGCUGGCCUGUCAUCGCCUCCAGGACUUGGUGAGGAAAAGUCGUAUGCUGAAAAGCAUAUGUCGACAGACGUCAAAGGGAAGCAAACGGAGGAGGAUUGAGUGCCCAUCAGUCCAGCUAGAGUGGCCGAUUGCAGAUCACCAGAAUGUAUAUCAUCAUUUGUACCAUCAGCAGUGAUAAUAGAACCUGCUGAAACGAGAGGAUCUCGAGGAGUCCCAACCAAAAAUAACUGCCUGUUGUUAUCUUCGACAGAUUCUUCUUCUUUCAAAUCCAUUUUUAUCCAAGUCUUUUCAAUGGUAUAAUAUCAAUGAAUUUAUUGAAGCUAAUUUGAUUUGUAACUGACUUUUACUUCGCUGAGGCGAUGCCCCAAGUAGAAUAGGCUGUCGGUAAUUGAAUCACCCUGGGUUGAGAACAACGUUUCAACCCCCCGCUCAAACAACUCUGGGGCUCUACCUUUCUUUUUCUCUUUUAUUUUAUUUCCUGUGUAUAUGUAUAUUUUUUUUAUCCACUACUUACUUACACCUGUGCAAGGUAGACUGAGCAGGGGAUUGUAUUUUCAACGGGAACUCCAAGGGGGGUAACGAAGCCCUACUCGUGCCCCGCAUAUCGCUUUGCCUCAGCUCUACGAAUCAAUAAUACACAAGGCAAACAGACCGAAAUGUAUAUCUGGCUUUUACUUCAGUUUAAAGCAUGUCAAGAAAUAAAUUAAUACCAUCCCACAGAUUGAACAGCUUCACUGCAACCCAAAGGGGUGACGAAAAAUUGUUCAUUUCACCGGUGGCCAACCAGUGAUUACCAUUUUAAAGAACCUUGCAUUAUAAGCAAGUUCUCAAUUGAUUAAAUAUUUUAAAAUUUACUUUGAAGAGAAGGCUAGCAUUAUUAUAAAAGAAGCUAUUGAAUGCACUUGAGAUAAUGUCUGAAGCUUUGAUACAGGACUCAACUGACGAGAUGUUACUGUACUCACAGAAAAAUUCUUUGACUGUGGGGUAAAUAUUUGUUUACUUUGCAAUAAACUGUUGUAUGUUAUUGUUAUAAUACCGUUUAUUACUAAGUGCAGUGUAUCACAAUGUAUUUACAAAAAUAUGCCAACAGAGUUUCCAGUAUUAUUGGUUAUUUUAAAAAAUGCUUUGUGCUUGGAUAACUCAUAGCUGGUGCUGCUGAUAGUAAAGACUUAGAAGUACAUACGUUUAUAUACAAUUAAUUAAUAAUUAAAUAUGAUAAGUUGUAAAUCAAUAAAUACAGAAGCAUGUUUGAAUUUUAUUACAGCCAAUAAUACGCUAUUGUUUGUAAUAUUUUAAAGUUUCAUUCCAGUCGCGUUUUUGUGAAAGAAGU